RNAcentral lists this long non-coding RNA (599 nucleotides) under Gallus gallus (chicken). RNAcentral describes it as "lncRNA (ENSGALG00010027761.1)". Lineage: Eukaryota; Metazoa; Chordata; Aves; Galliformes; Phasianidae. The record is from RNAcentral.
GGUGUGCGUCCCCGCCAGCCCUGCUGGGGUCCCUGCAGGUAACCGCCUCUGAUUGAGAACAUCCGCUCACCAAAGGCUUUCAGUGCUCUGGUGGGGGAAGAAGAAGAGGAGAAAAACCCCCAAACCCGUCCAUACACAGUGCCCCUGCAGCUGCCCCACACACCGUGACCCCAUAGCUGUGGGGUUCUGGUGCUGUCGGUGUGUCUGGCAGAGGUGUGCCUCCAUCCCGCUGCAUCCCACUGCAUCCCACAUCCCUCUGCAUCCCACAUCCCUCUGCCAGGCUCUGCAGCUCCUUCCAAACAAAGAGGGAUCUCUGGGCCGCCCUCCAUCCACCACCUCCCCUCGGUGGAAGCCUGCCCACGUCUUUUUGUGCAAAUCCUUCCCUCUCGGAUGCUAUUUGAUGUCUUCAAAGGGGCUAUUCUUAUGUGGAGAAAAGAGGGCGAGCUCAGGUCUGACAAGGCUCUUCGCUCGCAGCGCAGCUAUUUUUUCACUCGGAAGAGUGCCAGUUUGGGAUUUCAAGACAAAAAAAGAAAUAAAUAAAAUACAUAUAUUCUCUUUUUCACAGGCUGAUAUUUGGGUGAAGAACUCGCAAAGUUGGG